CUACGGGUCGCAGCAGUGAGGAAUUUUGCGCAAUGGGGGGAGCCCUGACGCAGCAACGCCGUGUGAGUGAAGAAGGCCUUUGGGUCGUAAAGCUCUGUCAACUGGGAAGAAGUUACUGUGCUUUAAUAGAGUGCAGUAUUGACGGUACCAGUGGAGGAAGCGUCGGCUAACUCCGUGCCAGCAGCCGCGGUAACACGGGGGACGCAAGCGUUAUUCGGAAUUAUUGGGCGUAAAGGGCGCGUAGGCGGUCUUGUCGGUCAGGUGUGAAAGCCCGGGGCUUAACCCCGGACGUGCACUUGAAACAGCAAGACUUGAGUACGGGAGAGGAAAGCGGAAUUCCUGGUGUAGAGGUGAAAUUCGUAGAUAUCAGGAGGAACACCGAUGGCGAAGGCAGCUUUCUGGACCGAAACUGACGCUGAGGCGCGAAGGCGUGGGUAGCGAACGGGAUUAGAUACCCCCGUAGUC
Molecule: ribosomal RNA, 465 nt
Filed under: uncultured bacterium
Lineage: Bacteria
Description: partial 16S ribosomal RNA
Rfam family: Bacterial small subunit ribosomal RNA
Source: RNAcentral